GUGUCAGCAGCCGCGGUAAGACGAACCGAGCGAACGUUGUUCGGAAUCACUGGGCUUAAAGGGCGCGUAGGCGGGCUGUCAAGUCUGGGGUGAAAUCCCGCGGCUCAACCGUGGAACUGCCUUAGAUACUGACGGCCUCGAGGGAGAUAGGGGCGAGCGGAACUGUGAGUGGAGCGGUGAAAUGCGUUGAUAUUCACAGGAACUCCGGUGGCGAAGGCGGCUCGCUGGAUCUUUUCUGACGCUGAGGCGCGAAAGCUAGGGGAGCAAACGGGAUUAGAUACCCCCGUAGUCC
Molecule: ribosomal RNA, 292 nt
Filed under: uncultured bacterium
Lineage: Bacteria
Description: partial 16S ribosomal RNA
Rfam family: Bacterial small subunit ribosomal RNA
Source: RNAcentral